Poecilia reticulata (guppy) is the source of this 893-nucleotide non-coding RNA. The record is from RefSeq and is a predicted model, not a curated record. NCBI's taxonomy places the organism in Eukaryota, Metazoa, Chordata, Actinopteri, Cyprinodontiformes, Poeciliidae.
ACUACAAAUUAAUCGUCCUUAUUUUCUCCAGGUGCAUUCUAGGUAAAGCUUGUCACCAACGUCAUCAUCAGUCAGUUGGCAACAAAUAGCAAACUAGCUAGAACUACGGAAUGUUAACAUGUUUUGAAUUUGUGUUGUUUCCAGUGACCAGUGGCCUUUUGUUUCUGUUCUUCUCUUGGUUUAUUGUACUUCAUGUCAGAUGGACUUCAAAAUGGCAUAGUCGCUCUCUGUGGUGGUGAAACUUGUUAGCUCCGCUGUUGCGGCCAUGUCUAUGUUGUAAAGUAAAAUUAUCAUGAGCUUUAUUAUUUGGGCCCGGUCAUUAGCCCCGCCCACCGGCCGACGCCGUCUUGUUCCGCUACUGCGUCACAUGUUUGCCUGAGGAGCAGAGGCAGCAGUAUGGCGUCUUGUCUGGAGCUUAUUGUAACAAGGUAAGUUUCAUGUUAAAAUUAUCAUGUUUUUGACUAUUUCUUAUGGAGGCAUUAUUUUUACGUUUACACGAGUACAUUUAUUUGUUGGACUGUUUAUUAUCUUAACCUAACUUUAAACUGUCAGGAAAAUCUGGAGGCCAUUUGAAUUAGCAUUAUUUUGCUGCGGGGUCAUUUUCUUUAAGUUUUUGUUGUAGACUGCCAAAUGGGGGAGUGGCUGUGCUGGACGGUUGGCUUGAUCUAAGCCACAGGUGUCAAACUCCAGUCCUGGAGGACCACUGUCCUGCAACAGUUAGAUGGUGCCGCUGCUGCACCACACCUGAAUACAAUAAUUAGACUUCAACACAUUUCUUCAGACAGGUGGGCAGAGUAAUUUGAAUGACUAUGACGGUGACACACACAGGUCAGUCUGAUUAGUUUUGCUCACACUACUUUUUAAAAUAUUUAUUUAUUAUCCUAAUGUUUCUG